GAUGAAGAACGCAGCGAAAUGCGAUAAGUAAUGUGAAUUGCAGAAUUCAGUGAAUCAUCGAGUCUUUGAACGCACAUUGCGCCCCCUGGUAUUCCGGGGGGCAUGCCUGUCCGAGCGUCAUUGCUGCCCUCAAGCACGGCUUGUGUGUUGGGCCCCGUCCCCGGUUCUCCCCGGGGACGGGCCCGAAAGGCAGCGGCGGCACCGCGUCCGAUCCUCGAGCGUAUGGGGCUUUGUCACCCGCUCUGUAGGCCCGGCCGGCGCCAGCCGACACCCCAACUUUAUUUUCUAAGGUUGACCUCGGAUCAGGUAGGGAUACCCGCUGAACUUAAGCAUAUCAAUAAGCGGAGGA
RNAcentral lists this unclassified non-coding RNA (349 nucleotides) under soil metagenome. Its description in RNAcentral is "partial contains 5.8S ribosomal RNA, internal transcribed spacer 2, and large subunit ribosomal RNA". The stretch from base 1 to 120 matches the Rfam family "5.8S ribosomal RNA", at positions 35 to 154 of the family's 154-position model. The record is from RNAcentral.